AUUGAACGCUGGCGGCAGGCCUAACACAUGCAAGUCGAGCGGCAGCGGAAAGUAGCUUGCUACUUUGCCGGCGAGCGGCGGACGGGUGAGUAAUGUCUGGGAAACUGCCUGAUGGAGGGGGAUAACUACUGGAAACGGUAGCUAAUACCGCAUAACGUCGCAAGACCAAAGAGGGGGACCUUCGGGCCUCUUGCCAUCAGAUGUGCCCAGAUGGGAUUAGCUAGUAGGUGGGGUAACGGCUCACCUAGGCGACGAUCCCUAGCUGGUCUGAGAGGAAGACCAGCCACACUGGACCUGAGAAACGGUCCAGAAUCCUACGGGAGGCAGCAGUGGGGAAAAUUGCACAAUGGGCGCAAGCCUGAUGCAGCCAUGCCGCGUGUAUGAAGAAGGCCUUCGGGUUGUAAAGUACUUUCAGCGGGGAGGAAGGCGAUAAGGUUAAUAACCUUGUCGAAUGACGUUACCCGCAGAAGAAGCACCGGCUAACUCCGUGCCAGCCGCCGCCGUAA
This 506-nucleotide ribosomal RNA is filed under the name uncultured bacterium. RNAcentral's name for it is "partial 16S ribosomal RNA". It matches the Rfam family "Bacterial small subunit ribosomal RNA", at positions 30 to 523 of the family's 1533-position model. The record is from RNAcentral.